GAUGAACGCUGGCGGCGUGCCUAAUACAUGCAAGUCGAACGAUGAAGCUGGAGCUUGCUCUGGUGGAUUAGUGGCGAACGGGUGAGUAACACGUGAGUAACCUGCCCUGGACUCUGGGAUAACCCCGAGAAAUCGGAGCUAAUACCGGAUAGGACCUCGGAUCGCAUGAUCUGGGGUGGAAAGUUUUUCGGUCUGGGAUGGACUCGCGGCCUAUCAGCUUGUUGGUGAGGUAAUGGCUCACCAAGGCGUCGACGGGUAGCCGGCCUGAGAGGGUGACCGGCCACACUGGGACUGAGACACGGCCCAGACUCCUACGGGAGGCAGCAGUGGGGAAUAUUGCACAAUGGGCGCAAGCCUGAUGCAGCAACGCCGCGUGCGGGAUGACGGCCUUCGGGUUGUAAACCGCUUUUAGUAAGGAAGAAGCCGCAAGGUGACGGUACUUGCAGAAAAAGGACCGGCUAACUACGUGCCAGCCGCCGCCGUAA
Molecule: ribosomal RNA, 485 nt
Filed under: uncultured bacterium
Lineage: Bacteria
Description: partial 16S ribosomal RNA
Rfam family: Bacterial small subunit ribosomal RNA
Source: RNAcentral